RNAcentral lists this ribosomal RNA (352 nucleotides) under uncultured bacterium. RNAcentral describes it as "bacterial SSU rRNA". It matches the Rfam family "Bacterial small subunit ribosomal RNA", at positions 28 to 367 of the family's 1533-position model. The record is from RNAcentral.
AAUCAACGCUGGCGGCGUGCCUAACACAUGCAAGUCGAGCGCGAAAGGGGAGCAAUCCCCGAGUAGAGCGGCGAACGGGUGAGUAACGCGUGGGUAAUCUACCUCCGAGUGGGGAAUAACAGCGGGAAACUGCUGCUAAUACCGCAUGACAUCGUCGAGCCCUCGGGCCUGACGAUCAAAGCCGGGGACCGCAAGGCCUGGCGCUUGGAGACGAGCCCGCGUCCGAUUAGCAGUUGGCGGGGUAAUGGCCCACCAAGGCUCCGAUCGGUAGCCGGCCUGAGAGGGCGGACGGCCACACUGGGACUGAGACACGGCCCAGACUCCUACGGGAGGCAGCAGUGGGGAAUUUUUC